Molecule: long non-coding RNA, 710 nt
Filed under: Panax ginseng (ginseng)
Lineage: Eukaryota; Viridiplantae; Streptophyta; Magnoliopsida; Apiales; Araliaceae
Description: long non-coding RNA (PGIN_LNC002520)
Source: RNAcentral
UAGAUCAACAGUAACCCAUGCCAGAAAUAGUGAAAAAUUAAGCAAGAAGGAUAUCCCACAAGGCCUAGGCCACAAUGGGCUGAUUAUAUAUGUAUUUAAUACAGUACAGUACUAAAUGGGUAAAAGUAAAAUCAUUUUUUCAUGUGAAUGAAUAAGAAGUUGGGAAUGAACUUCCUUUUGUUGGAUUCAUGUGCCAGCUGGAGUCGAAUAGUUCUAAGACACGAUGUUUUCUUCAUUGCUUCCAUUUCCGUCGUCCUUGUCCUGAUCAGCUUCGUCGGUGCUAAAAUAAGUUUCCUCGGUCACAUGAUGACAAUCUUGUUUGUUUUCAGCACUUUGUUUUUUCCCCUUCUCAAGAAUUUCUUUGUAACUGCACUUGAUAUUCCAACCGAGUUUGAGUUGGAGCAAGCAUUAGAGUACUCCAAAUUAAUCUCAUCUUGGGACUCGCAAUUUAUAAUAUGAUCAACCAUAAUCUCCUUCUCCCACGUAUCAUUUGAACUACUACUCCUAGCAGGUAUCAUCCAAUUAUCAAACUUUGGUGGAAGAGUUUCAACAGCAUCGAUGAGGCUGUCAAUCUUGUUGAAUAAAGGCUUUGAUGGUGGGAAAAUUUUUGUCAACAUGUUUACCACAACUAUGAUAUGAUCAUCAACAAAGCUGAGCAAUAUCAGCCAUUGAUAUUGCACCGCGUAGAUGAAUGGUAAGGCUGAUUUAAG